UAGAAUGGGUCAUGGGAUUAUUAAUAAUGUUUCCUCACUCAUCCUUUGUAUAUUUUUAGGAAUUUCCAAAAGCUAACAAGAAUUGUUUUAUGACUUAGCAAAAAUCAGCAUGGUAUUUCAAAUCUCCUUUGUAGCAAGAAUCUUUAUAGAAAUUCCGGAGUCGGUGAGGAGCCAAACUCACACAACAGAGAGGUUUGAUCUUGAAAAAUGAAACAGCCUCCAGCCAUUCUAGGAAGGUCUUUCACAGCACUCAACACAGCAUCCUCCUGAAGGUACACCAUCCCCAGCUUUCCACUGAUGAAUCUCCAUGAUUUUGUAGGUCCUUCCACCAAGACAUGCAGAAAUUUACUCUGCAUUUGGCUCAAACCUCUUUCUACAUUUGAACAGGGCUGAAAUUACUAGAUGGAAGAAGUGGCUUCAGGAACUCCCACAUCUCUCCCCAAGUUCCCAUUUAUCUCUGAUGGUUGCUGACUCAUCACCCCUCAACUUGGUGGUUUCAAUCAGCAACGAACAUUUUAUUCUCUCAUAGUGUCGGUGGGUGGUUCUGACUCAGGCAAUCCUCUGGCCAGUCAGUCAUUGGCUGGAGCUGGAACAGACUUGGGGAGCCUGGGCGCUGGAGCAGAGUGCUGGAGCAGUGUGGCUGGACAUCUUCCCCCACCCCAUCUCUGUUCAUGUAACUGCAGGGUGGCCACGCGUGACCUCUACAGGUAUUUGUCACCUGCUCUUCGACCAGCACCUCCAUCUGCUUCCACCAGCCCUGCAUCCUGCCCUGCAUCCAGCUUCCAGACUGGACUCCUCGACACAUCCCUACACAUGCUUCUUCUAUAAGAGGAGGCUGUCCUGAUCUAGAGGUGGAUGGAGAAGAGGCAGUCAGAGAAUGCGUUUGUUCCUCACGACUUCUGACUUCUGCUCAGAAAGACCAUUUACUUAGGUGAUGAAGUCUGGACAGAUGCCCAGGGCUCACUAGCCAGCAUGUCAUUGUACCUACCAUGCUCUGGCUGACUUUCCCAUGAGCAGCUCUACCCAGCCCUCACCGUCUCACAAGCUCCCAGGGAACAAUCCCCUAAAUGUAUGUUUUCCUCUCUUUCCUGCUUGAUCUAUUAAGA
Molecule: long non-coding RNA, 1106 nt
Organism: Cervus elaphus (red deer)
Lineage: Eukaryota; Metazoa; Chordata; Mammalia; Artiodactyla; Cervidae
Exons: 3
Source: RefSeq, a predicted model, not a curated record